UCCCUAUCUGCCGUGGACGUUGGAAAUUUGAGAGGGGCUGCUCCUAGUACGAGAGGACCGGAGUGGACGAACCCCUGGUGUUCGGGUUGUCACGCCAGUGGCAUUGCCCGGUAGCUAUGUUCGGAAAGGAUAACCGCUGAAAGCAUCUAAGCGGGAAACCUGCCUCAAGAUGAGAUUUCCCGGGCCUUCGGGCCCCUAAAGGACCGUAGAAGACUACUACGUUGAUAGGUUGGGUGUGUAAGCGCUGUGAGGCGUUGAGCUAACCAAUACUAAUUGUCCGUGAGGCUUGAUCAU
This 294-nucleotide ribosomal RNA is filed under the name Litorivicinaceae bacterium. Its description in RNAcentral is "partial 23S ribosomal RNA". It matches the Rfam family "Bacterial large subunit ribosomal RNA", at positions 2635 to 2925 of the family's 2925-position model. Lineage: Bacteria; Pseudomonadati; Pseudomonadota; Gammaproteobacteria; Oceanospirillales; Litorivicinaceae. The record is from RNAcentral.